CGUGUGAUUAUCGAAACAAUGCAGAAAAGCAGCGUUGUGGAUUUUGGUAGAGACUUUCUGUUUGGUAGAGACCCGGAAGUUGCACGAAUGUUUACUUGUCACAUCGUCGUCAUGGAAAUUCAUUGGACCAAGCCCUGGUUUACUCACAUCCAUCCAGUAUUUAAGGCACAGUACCACAGAUGCCAGAGUAAAUACAGACUGUGACAUUACAGUAACUGGACAAGAACAUCUGUGCAAGGAUGAAGACUUUACACGCAAUGCUGCUGAUGCUGUUUGUUGCAUCAGUCUUUUCAAAACCACCUUACCCGCGCAGAAGAUCUGAUUCAUCAGACUCGGAGGGUUCGGAUGAAAACAAUUCACGCAGAGCAUACAGAGAGGAUUCACAGUCGGUUGAGAAUUCUGACGAGUCUAAUGAAUCUUCUGAGGAAGACAUUAGAGUUGUGACAACUCGGAAAACAAGUCCACCGACCACUAGCAAGACAACAAUCAGCGGGCCAUAAGACAUCACAAGCUGUGUUACUGUGAAUCUGACAACUGAAAUAAUGAGCAAUAAUAACAAAAUCAUUAUAAUAUCUUACAAUGCUACUGCUUAAUCAUCUUUUCAUGCAAAAAAACAAACAAACAAAAACAUGUGUAAUGGUGUACAAGUCAUAAUGGUUUACAAAAGAAAGUAAUGUAUAUGUGCUGAUAAUGAAGGUCUUGAAACUGAUUGAUGUAACUUUUAAAAUUAAUUACUUUUAAAUUGCAUGUCCCU
RNAcentral lists this long non-coding RNA (754 nucleotides) under Sinocyclocheilus grahami. RNAcentral's name for it is "lncRNA (ENSSGRG00000018284.1)". The record is from RNAcentral. Lineage: Eukaryota; Metazoa; Chordata; Actinopteri; Cypriniformes; Cyprinidae.